CCUACGGGAGGCAGCAGUGGGGAAUAUUGGGCAAUGGGCGAAAGCCUGAUCCAGCAAUGCCGCGUGAGUGAAGAAGGCCUUCGGGUUGUAAAGCUCUUUUACCCGGGAAGAUAAUGACUGUACCGGGAGAAUAAGCUCCGGCUAACUCCGUGCCAGCAGCCGCGGUAAUACGGAGGGAGCUAGCGUUGUUCGGAAUUACUGGGCGUAAAGCGUACGUAGGCGGCUUGGUAAGUCAGAGGUGAAAGCCCACGACUCAAUCGUGGAACUGCCUUUGAGACUGCUUCGCUUGAAGAUGGGAGAGGUUAGUGGAAUUCCGAGUGUAGAGGUGAAAUUCGUAGAUAUUCGGAAGAACACCAGUGGCGAAGGCGGCUAACUGGACCAUUCUUGACGCUGAGGUACGAAAGCGUGGGGAGCAAACAGGAUUAGAUACCCUGGUAGUCCACGCCGUAAACGAUGAUAACUAGCUGUCGGGGCUCUUGGAGCUUCGGUGGCGCAGCUAACGCAUUAAGUUAUCCGUCUGGGGAGUACGGCCGCAAGGUUAAAACUCAAAGGAAUUGACGG
This 561-nucleotide ribosomal RNA is filed under the name uncultured bacterium. Its description in RNAcentral is "bacterial SSU rRNA". It matches the Rfam family "Bacterial small subunit ribosomal RNA", at positions 338 to 916 of the family's 1533-position model. The record is from RNAcentral.